Molecule: long non-coding RNA, 1902 nt
Organism: Caretta caretta (loggerhead turtle)
Lineage: Eukaryota; Metazoa; Chordata; Testudines; Cheloniidae
Source: RefSeq, a predicted model, not a curated record
GCCAGGGCGACCGGCUGCGGCCUGCAGGGUGUCGGCGCCAGUCGGGGAGCAGCGACUGUGACCCGCCGGGGCCGGCACCUAAGGGUGGGAUUUUCGAAAACAUCUGAUUUAGGUGCACCGGCACCAUUGACUUCAACCUGCAGACCCUGAUGGAGGAGUAGAGCCUGGUUGAAGCAUUUCAGCUUCUUGACUUGUGGAAGUUCAAUAUAUUGGAAGGUGAUGUUGAUUGCAAAUAUAGCUCAGAUUUAUCAGUUUUGUUUUUGAUUUCAUAUUGUUCAUACAGUAAGGACGUGAAUCAUAAAAAUGUAGGGUUGAAAGGGACCUCAAGAAGUCAAGUCCAAUACCCUGUGUUGAGGCAGGACAAAGUAAACCUAGACCAUCCCUGACACGUGUUUGUCCAACCUGUUCUUAGUGAGGCUCUAGACAGGACUUUUUCAGCAUAGAUGUGAAACUUAGAAAAAAAAAAUCUCUGUAAAAUCUGAAAUUCUGCUUGCAAUUUGGAAACCAAUUAAAGAAACAAGUACCGUACAGACCAUCUACUUUACAAAUUUAAUAUUAAAAUAUGGGAAGGAUGUAAAGAAUGAGCAAUAUGCAAAUAAAAAUAUCUACUAAUAGAGCACAAACCCAUCAGCUGCAGACGGGAUGGUCACAGGUUUCUGUAAAAGCCGGCCCCUUGACAAGAGCUGCAGUAUGUGGUUUUGGAAGUGGGUGAUAGGUUCAUAGGUUUCAAUUCCAGGGGUUCUCUGGAACUUGAGCAGCUGUUAGGAAUCCCUCUGAUAUUUAUGACCAAGUGAUGGCCACAGCUAUCAGCAUCAGGAGCAGGAGAAAGAAGCCUGCCAAGCACUGCAAUCAAUCAAGGAAGGAGGCAAUGCUAAGCAGUGGGCCAGAAGCCCCUAAGGCAGAGGCACUUACCCAUGCACUGGGCUCCAUUCUGAUCUGUUACACUAGUGUACAACUAGAAUAACUACAUUGACUUCAUUGAAGUCAUUCCUGAUUUAGAGCAGUGUAAGAACAGAAUCAACCCUGUAUCCACCACCUUCAGCUCACUCAGAUCUUGGCCUAGGUUUCUACUAGUAGUUCAUGUCUCCCUCCCCAAUUGACCCCUAUUGCCUUUGAAGCCACUAUCCCUACAUCCCUCCAACAGAAGGGGGUUCACUCUACCAACCUUCUCAAAGCAGACAUUUUAGGGGUUUGCAGCAUGCUGUGCUUCAAAGCUGCACCCUAGAACCCCUAUAUUCACCACUGUCAUGUAAUUAUGCUAUAUUUUGUACAAAGUAUGCCUUGUGAGAUAUUAUUUUAAAAGUUUUUAUCUAUUGUAUAUUAAUAUCCUGUUGGAUUGUAUGUGAAGUUAUGAAGUUUUGCUGUGUGUGUGUUACUGAAAUAUGUUGUAAGGUUGUGAACACUCACAACAAGCCUUUCAGGUGCAACAAAGGAGGAGCCAGACACACUGAUGACCUGUUAAAGGACUCCAUACCCCCAAGAAUCACAUACAAUGGAGACUUCUCAGAGAUAGCACAUAGACAAUGGAAACUGCUUGACGCAUGUCAUAGCAAAGCCUCUUUUCAGCAAGCUAAACGAAGCUAUAAAAGAGGGGAAGUAACAUCAUCACUUGGCCUCUCACCCCCCACAACUCAACACCUGGAAACAUAUCUGGAGGGGAAAGACUGAACUGGGGAGGUGGUUUCAGGCUGGAAGAGAAUUCCAGCCUAUGUAUGGAAGAUCUGUAACCUGCUUGUAUUAUCUACCAGGGGGAGACACUGCUUGAUUGAAAUCCUAUCUAGUUUAUAUAACUCAGAUUGUGAUUUUACUUUUAUUUCUUAGAUAGAUUUUAAGUGAUUAUAAGUAAUAAGUGUACAGAUCAAAGUUGGCUCUCUGUAGUUAAUAAAUCUGUUUUAUAUUUUA